UCAAAAGGUGUGGUGGAGAAUGAA
RNAcentral lists this non-coding RNA (24 nucleotides) under Arabidopsis thaliana (thale cress). The record is from RNAcentral. Lineage: Eukaryota; Viridiplantae; Streptophyta; Magnoliopsida; Brassicales; Brassicaceae.